GCUCCAGUGGCGCAAUCGGUCAUCAUACGGUACUUAUAUGACAGUAACCUGCAGAGUGACGCCGAGUUCGACCCUCACCUGGAGCA
This is a non-coding RNA of Ataeniobius toweri, 86 nucleotides long. Lineage: Eukaryota; Metazoa; Chordata; Actinopteri; Cyprinodontiformes; Goodeidae. The record is from the annotation of a GenBank genome assembly.